CUAAGAUGAUCUUCUUCCCCAAGCUUUGAAAUCUUAAAUUCUUCCACUUCCAAGUUGCAGAAUUUACGGGAUGUCAUCGUCUUUUAGUUGUGGUAUUUCAUCCUUACCCGAAUUUGAGAAAAAUUUUCGAUGUAAAUGUGGUAAUUUACUGCCCAUCAAAAUGUCAUGGAGUUAUGCUAACCCGGGGAAAAGAUACCUAGCUUGUCCACGUUAUGGAGGUUAUUAAAACGGCUAGACAAGAAUGACACGGAGAUUCAAAAAUUGAAGUACACAAUUGAGAAGGAAGAAAUUGAAAUCCAAAAACUUAGCUUGAAGGUCAUGAAAAUGAAGUUUCAAAAGCAAACUGGAGGUGACAAUAAGUUCAAUUUUACAAAGGUGUUGCAUGCAGUUUGGUGGUAGCAACCAUUUUCGUUCAAUUUGUGUGCAAAAUGCAUAUCAUGGAAAAUGAAAAUGUAAAACUUCUUCAAUUAAAUUAGGUAGUUAUGUGAGCACAAUAUUGUGUAAUGUUAGAUUGUGUAAUGUAUGGAUUGACAACAGUGUAUAAUGUUAGAUUGUGUAAUGCAUGAUUUGAAUUAAAUUAA
Long non-coding RNA from Ipomoea triloba (trilobed morning glory), 581 nucleotides. RefSeq lists it as uncharacterized. NCBI's taxonomy places the organism in Eukaryota, Viridiplantae, Streptophyta, Magnoliopsida, Solanales, Convolvulaceae. The transcript has 3 exons. The record is from RefSeq and is a predicted model, not a curated record.